AUACCGGAUAUGACCAACUGUCGCAUGGUGGUUGGUGGAAAGCUUUUGCGGUGUGGGAUGGGCCCGCGGCCUAUCAGCUUGUUGGUGGGGUAAUGGCCUACCAAGGCGACGACGGGUAGCCGACCUGAGAGGGUGAUCGGCCACACUGGGACUGAGACACGGCCCAGACUCCUACGGGAGGCAGCAGUGGGGAAUAUUGCACAAUGGGCGCAAGCCUGAUGCAGCGACGCCGCGUGAGGGAUGACGGCCUUCGGGUUGUAAACCUCUUUCACCAGGGACGAAGCGUGAGUGACGGUACCUGGAGAAGAAGCACCGGCCAACUACGUGCCAGCAGCCGCGGUAAUACGUAGGGUGCGAGCGUUGUCCGGAAUUACUGGGCGUAAAGAGCUCGUAGGCGGUUU
RNAcentral lists this ribosomal RNA (401 nucleotides) under Gordonia sp. (in: high G+C Gram-positive bacteria). Its description in RNAcentral is "bacterial SSU rRNA". It matches the Rfam family "Bacterial small subunit ribosomal RNA", at positions 166 to 581 of the family's 1533-position model. Lineage: Bacteria; Bacillati; Actinomycetota; Actinomycetes; Mycobacteriales; Gordoniaceae. The record is from RNAcentral.